Molecule: ribosomal RNA, 994 nt
Filed under: uncultured Corynebacterium sp.
Lineage: Bacteria; Bacillati; Actinomycetota; Actinomycetes; Mycobacteriales; Corynebacteriaceae
Description: bacterial SSU rRNA
Rfam family: Bacterial small subunit ribosomal RNA
Source: RNAcentral
GUGCCAGCAGCCGCGGUAAUACGUAGGGUGCGAGCGUUGUCCGGAAUUACUGGGCGUAAAGAGCUCGUAGGUGGUUUGUCGCGUCGUUUGUGUAAGCCCGCAGCUUAACUGCGGGACUGCAGGCGAUACGGGCAUAACUUGAGUGCUGUAGGGGAGACUGGAAUUCCUGGUGUAGCGGUGGAAUGCGCAGAUAUCAGGCAGAACGCCGAUGGCGAAGGCAGGUUACUGGGCAGUUACUGACGCUGAGGAGCGAAAGCAUGGGUAGCGAACAGGAUUAGAUACCCUGGUAGUCCAUGCCGUAAACGGUGGGCGCUAGGUGUGAGGCCCUUCCACGGGUUUCGUGCCGUAGCUAACGUGUUAAGCGCCCCGCCUGGGGAGUACGGCCGCAAGGCUAAAACUCAAAGGAAUUGACGGGGGCCCGCACAAGCGGCGGAGCAUGUGGAUUAAUUCGAUGCAACGCGAAGAACCUUACCUGGGCUUGACAUGCACUAGAUCGCCUCAGAGAUGGGGUUUCCCUUUGUGGUUGGUGUACAGGUGGUGCAUGGUUGUCGUCAGCUCGUGUCGUGAGAUGUUGGGUUAAGUCCCGCAACGAGCGCAACCCUUGUCUUAUGUUGCCAGCAUUUGGUUGGGGACUCAUGAGAGACUGCCGGGGUUAACUCGGAGGAAGGUGGGGAUGACGUCAAAUCAUCAUGCCCCUUAUGUCCAGGGCUUCACACAUGCUACAAUGGUCGGUACAACGCGUGGCGAUACUGUGAGGUGGAGCUAAUCGCUUGAAAGCCGGUCGUAGUUCGGAUUGGGGUCUGCAACUCGACCCCAUGAAGUCGGAGUCGCUAGUAAUCGCAGAUCAGCAAUGCUGCGGUGAAUACGUUCCCGGGCCUUGUACACACCGCCCGUCGCGUCAUGAAAGUUGGUAGCACCCGAAGCCGGUGGCCCAAACUUGUUAGGGAGCCGUCGAAGGUGGGAUCGGCGAUUGGGACGAAGUCGUAACAAGGUA